RNAcentral lists this ribosomal RNA (253 nucleotides) under uncultured bacterium. RNAcentral describes it as "partial 16S ribosomal RNA". It matches the Rfam family "Bacterial small subunit ribosomal RNA", at positions 524 to 776 of the family's 1533-position model. The record is from RNAcentral.
UACGUAGGGACCGAGCGUUGUCCGGAAUCAUUGGGCGUAAAGAGCGUGUAGGCGGCUUGCUAAGUCUUGCGUGAAAUCUCGGGGCUCAACCCCGAGCGGUCGUGGGAAACUGGCAGGCUAGAGUGCGGGAGAGGAGAAUGGAAUUCCUGGUGUAGCGGUGAAAUGCGCAGAUAUCAGGAAGAACACCCGUGGCGAAGGCGGCUCUCUGGAACGCAACUGACGCUGAGACGCGAAAGCGUGGGGAGCAAACAGG